This 406-nucleotide long non-coding RNA is filed under the name Mytilus galloprovincialis (Mediterranean mussel). The record is from RNAcentral. Lineage: Eukaryota; Metazoa; Mollusca; Bivalvia; Mytilida; Mytilidae.
UUUUUGUUUGUCUUUUUCAUUUUUUAGCCAUGGCGUUGUCAGUUUGUUUUAGAUUUAUGAGUUUGACUGUCCCUUUGGUAUCUUUCGUCCCUUUUUUAUUAAUUGUAAACACAGCGUUGAAUUUUUCGAAAUGCUAAUGAUUUUCAAUCCAAAGAAAAGUUUGCCUUAGCUGUAUUUGGCCAAGUGUUUUCGCAAUUUGGGGUCCUUAAUGCUCUUCUACUUCGUAUUCUUUUUAAUUCUUUUGAUCCGGCGGACAAAAUUUUAUUCCUGGAUUUAUGGUGAGUUUGUUAACUCAGUUAAAAUGGCUUUUUUAGGUUCGAUGAUUUGUAUUUGAUUUGAAUUUUUUUUAGCAUAUUCUGAUAAAUUAAAUUGUAUACAGCGAUACAUGAGGAGAUGCGUAUUUCAG